ACUGAGCGGCGGACGGGUGGGUAACGCGUGGGUAACCUGCCUCAUACAGGGGGAUAACAGUUGGAAACGGCUGCUAAUACCGCAUAAGCGCACAGUACCGCAUGGUACGGUGUGAAAAACUCCGGUGGUAUGAGAUGGACCCGCGUCUGAUUAGGUAGUUGGUGGGUAACGGCCUACCAAGCCGACGAUCAGUAGCCGACCUGAGAGGGUGACCGGCCACAUUGGGACUGAGACACGGCCCAA
RNAcentral lists this ribosomal RNA (243 nucleotides) under uncultured bacterium. RNAcentral's name for it is "partial 16S ribosomal RNA". It matches the Rfam family "Bacterial small subunit ribosomal RNA", at positions 90 to 334 of the family's 1533-position model. The record is from RNAcentral.